AGUGAACGCUGGCGGUAGGCCUAACACAUGCAAGUCGAACGGCAGCACAGUAAGAGCUUGCUCUUACGGGUGGCGAGUGGCGGACGGGUGAGGAAUACAUCGGAAUCUACUUUUUCGUGGGGGAUAACGUAGGGAAACUUACGCUCAUACCGCAUACGACCUACGGGUGAGAGCAGGGGAUCUUCGGACCUUGCGCGAUUGAAUGAGCCGAUGUCGGGUUAGCUAGUGGGGGGGGUAAAUGCCCACCAAGGCGGCGAUCCGUAGCUGGUCUGAGAGGAUGAUCAGCCACACUGGAACUGAGACACGGUCCAGACUCCUACGGGAGGCAGCAGUGGGGAAUAUUGGACAGUAGGGGCGAGCAUUAUCCAGCCAUACCGAGUGGGUGGAAGAGACCUUCGGGUUGUAAAGCCCUUUUGUUGGGAAAGAACAGCAGCAGGUUAAUACGCCGCUGUUCUGACGGUACCCAAAGAAUAAGCACCGGCUAACUUCGUG
This 492-nucleotide ribosomal RNA is filed under the name uncultured bacterium. Its description in RNAcentral is "partial 16S ribosomal RNA". It matches the Rfam family "Bacterial small subunit ribosomal RNA", at positions 29 to 507 of the family's 1533-position model. The record is from RNAcentral.